The sequence is a transfer RNA, 83 nucleotides long. It matches the Rfam family "tRNA". Rfam says of the family: Transfer RNA (tRNA) molecules are approximately 80 nucleotides in length.
GCAGCUGUGGUGGAACUGGUAGACACGCUAUCUUCAGGCGGUAGUGGAUAAUAUCCAUGUGAGUUCGAGUCUCAUCAGCUGCA